RNAcentral lists this ribosomal RNA (687 nucleotides) under uncultured Clostridium sp. Its description in RNAcentral is "bacterial SSU rRNA". It matches the Rfam family "Bacterial small subunit ribosomal RNA", at positions 62 to 750 of the family's 1533-position model. Lineage: Bacteria; Bacillati; Bacillota; Clostridia; Eubacteriales; Clostridiaceae. The record is from RNAcentral.
UCGAGCGAUGAAAUUCGACAGAUCCCUUCGGGGUGAAGAUGAAAUGGAUUAGCGGCGGACGGGUGAGUAACACGUGAGUAACCUGCCUUAGACAUUGGGAUAGCCUCGGGAAACCGGGAUUAAUACCAAAUGAAAUCACAUAUGCACAUGCAUAAAUGAUCAAAGCUCCGGCGGUCUAAGAUGGACUCGCGUCCCAUUAGCUAGUUGGUGAGGUAACGGCCCACCAAGGCGACGAUGGGUAGCCGGCCUGAGAGGGUGAACGGCCACAUUGGAACUGAGAAACGGUCCAAACUCCUACGGGAGGCAGCAGUGGGGAAUAUUGCACAAUGGAGGGAACUCUGAUGCAGCGACGCCGCGUGAACGAAGAAGGCUUUCGAGUCGUAAAGUUCUUUUAUAUGGGAAGAUAAUGACGGUACCAUAAGAAAAAGCCCCGGCUAACUACGUGCCAGCAGCCGCGGUAAUACGUAGGGGGCUAGCGUUGUCCGGAAUCACUGGGCGUAAAGGGUUCGCAGGCGGAAAUGCAAGUCAGGUGUUAAAGGCAGUAGCUUAACUACUGUAAGCAUUUGAAACUGCAUAUCUUGAGAAGAGUAGAGGUAAGUGGAAUUUUUAGUGUAGCGGUGAAAUGCGUAGAUAUUAAAAAGAAUACCGGUGGCGAAGGCGACUUACUGGGCUCAUUCUGACGCUGAG